GAUGUUGAACUAGCAGAGGGCAGACGCCCGAGAUGUACAUCAAACGUGUAUGUUAAUCGCAGUUAGUAUCGGAGUAUAAGUGCAUUUCACCGUGGUGAAUGCAGAGUUUGCCAUUCUAGGUUAAGGACUUUGAAACAUCAGAAGAAACCCGUGGAUAGGACCAGGAGGCUAUCCUUGGACUUUUUCCCCCUUGUUACGUGGCUAAGUAAAGAAGCAUCCAGAAGUCGCCAUCAAAUCGUGGAUUUGAUGUCGGAGGCCGAAAUCGUUGCAGGAUGCCCUCGUCGUUCUCACAAAUGAUUCCCUCAAGGGCUGGGAGUUCCGGCAGAAUCCCCUCUCGUGAUUGGCUGACACCGGAGUCUUGGCUUACAACAUGGCAACUGCAGGUUGGACCCUAACAUCAGCUGAUGGCUUAAAAGGCAGUCCAUGAAAGCUACACAGGGGCAGCAGCUGAGCAGCAGCAGAGUGCAUGACAGUACGGCCUCAGUCUUCAACCCCCCCGUAAAUACUUUCUUUUGAUUUGUGAAGCAGAAGGGGUGAGCUGCCAUUUUCUUUGCACUGAUUUCUCCUGUUUUGGUGCUAGAGAGUUAGGGUUAGUGAUUGUUUUUUGUUUGUUUUUGUUUUUGUAGGGUUUAGGUAGCACUUACUUGGGGAACAAGAUGUUUUGAUUGUUAUUUUGUUUGGCCUUGGCUCACCCCAGAGCCCAAGCUUCUGUUAUUUUCUAGUUUUUGGCAUGGAUUGUGCUUAGUGUCAAGAUCAGCGUUCUUUACUUGCAGCUUUUCAAGAAGCUGGUCACUGUGUUCCAAUGAUCCUACAAUGACAGGAGAAGCAUUUGGAAUACAUAUUUCUCUCUUGUGGCUUCCCCACUUUCCAGUUGUGCAGCUCUGUAUUUGAGUCUUAUAAGGCAAUGUUUUUGAUAUGUUCUUAAAGUUAUAGACUACAUGGGCUUGAUGUUUCAAAGGACCACACACUGAAUGUAAUCUCAUACAACGAAGGGGGAAAAAGGUUAUUAAAUGAAAUUGAAAUGGAGAGACUUGCUUAAUGGAGGUCAAAUUGUUUGCUAAAUUGUGAGUGGAUUGUGAGAGAGUUAUAGACUGUGGGGUUAGAAGAGGUACGAUUAAGAGGUGGAUGUAAGGAUGUACCAAUUAAAACGACAAAGGGGUGCAGAGGAGCUUUUCUAUCUCCACCCAAAUAAGACCACCAUCACUGGAGCUGUAGUGCACCCAAAAGGACAGACAAUGCAGAUUACAUGCCCAUUAAUGGUGCCGGAUAUUGGGGAGAGCCAGACCACCUUGCUUUGGUUUUUGCAGGUGGGCUUUCUUUAGACGAGGCUUUUUACCAUUCCAAA
Long non-coding RNA from Archocentrus centrarchus (flier cichlid), 1345 nucleotides. RefSeq lists it as uncharacterized. The record is from RefSeq and is a predicted model, not a curated record. The transcript is spliced from 3 exons. Lineage: Eukaryota; Metazoa; Chordata; Actinopteri; Cichliformes; Cichlidae.